Long non-coding RNA from Theobroma cacao (cacao), 1260 nucleotides. RefSeq lists it as uncharacterized. NCBI's taxonomy places the organism in Eukaryota, Viridiplantae, Streptophyta, Magnoliopsida, Malvales, Malvaceae. The record is from RefSeq and is a predicted model, not a curated record.
AAAACAACACUAUGCUCAGAGAAUCCUAACCCGUCACGACGGUCGCAGAACAAUUAACAAACCAAAUACCGAAUACCAAAAGAGGCUUUAAGCCUUACGUGGCUCUGCAGUUCGAAGUCUCUUGUAUAUGACAAUGCUCGAUAUAAUUUUGGCUUUCAAAAAAACAAACCAAAUACCAAAAGAGAUGCAGAACAAAAAGAAAUCACCAAAAGCCAGAACAUUCUCUCGAGAACAAUCCCUGUGAACCGAAACAGCCAGAGAAGACGACCACGGACGGAUCCUUGCAGACGAAGGUCUUCAAGGAGCUAUCCACAUUCAAAGGAAGACAAAUCUCAUCACACAGAGCAACCAACAGAACAGCAGGAGCCAUCGAAGAAACCAUCCACACGGUCACCAUCACUCCCACCAAGGGCAGCAAAGAAAUCCCGUAACCCCCCACCAAACACGCUUGAGAGUGACCCCUUUGAACCCUCCAUCAAAAGAUCGACACCCCUACGUCCUAGCCAACCGAGGGACAUAACCUUUACACACAUCAAAGACCCACCCACGUCAACCCUUAUCGUCUCAGAGAACCUCCUCGAACCCCGUCGAACCCCCUUCAUUGAAUCCCAAGAGAAAACAAAACCAAAAGCACUCCCCCAGACUAUUCCCCUAAGACAGUCCUAGAAGAUUCUCUCGAGAUAAGCAAACUCCCCCACACCUCCCAAUAUUAGAGAGGAUCAAGAAUUCCCAAGGAGGCAAGAAAUCAACCCACCACCUACACUCCACCUUACAGGAGACCUCAAGCACAUAAUCCAGAAAAGCAAACCUUCCUCCCCAAUUUCAGUUUCAGGUUUGGGGAAUGGCUGCUAAGCCCAAAAAUGUUUUGGUCAUCUGCUGCUUUUGUCUACUAUUGAUGGGAGCGCUCUGCCAGAUCUCUUCAGGAGCAUCGCCGCUCAACUAUGAGACCCUCCACAAGGACCGCAACAGCAGUAGUCCCUGCGGUCCUCAACAGUCAAAAAAUUGUGUGACCGCUCGCCGGCCGGCGAAGGAGCACCAACGGGGUUGUAACAAAAGUAAUGGAUGUCGCACGUGAUGGAGAGGACCUUUAAAUGGCCACAAAAGACAAUUUUGUAAAAAAAAACAUCCCAUUGUCUUUUGAAUUGCUGCUGCCUGCCCUUUCUUUGGUGUGUUUGACAUCUUAGUUUAGUUGCAGUGCAGAGUUAAUUAAAUUUGUUAUAGGCAUUAUUUAUUAUUGCAACGAUGGUUUUUUCCUCUCUA